UACGUAGGGUGCAAGCGUUAAUCGGAAUUACUGGGCGUAAAGCGCGCGUAGUCGGUUAUUUAAGUCGGGUGUGGAAGCCCCGGGCUCAACCUGGGAAUUGCAUUCGAUACUGGAUAGCUAGAGUUCGGCAGAGGGAAGCGGAGUUUCCGGUGUAGCGGUGAAAUGCGUAGAUAUCGGAAGGAACAGCAGUGGCGAAAGCGGCUUCCUGGACCAGAACUGACGAUCAGGCUCGAAAGCGUGGGGAGCAAACAGG
Molecule: ribosomal RNA, 253 nt
Filed under: uncultured bacterium
Lineage: Bacteria
Description: partial 16S ribosomal RNA
Rfam family: Bacterial small subunit ribosomal RNA
Source: RNAcentral